GCUAGAGGUGUCAGAAAA
Molecule: small nuclear RNA, 18 nt
Filed under: Arabidopsis thaliana (thale cress)
Lineage: Eukaryota; Viridiplantae; Streptophyta; Magnoliopsida; Brassicales; Brassicaceae
Description: snRNA_05129
Source: RNAcentral